AAAUGGUGAACCCCACCAGGUUUAAUAAUGUGACCCUCACUAAAUGCGUAGCAGUUAAUGAUAAAAGUACAACUAUCUUUCAUAACAGAAAGUGGGGGAGUGAGGGGAGUAGGGACGGGCAGAGAAAGUUCCCUGACUUCCUAUUAUCGCAUAUACAGAUAAUCUGGUUACAAAGAGUAGCCUAGCCUUGAAAGAAGAGAAAAUCACAACGGACACCAUGUUGCUGAGAGGGUUUGCGGAGGAAGGGUGGUUUCCAGACAUCCUUAGUGAAUGCAGGUCACAUGCAAAGAGGUAUCUCAGGCCCUUUUUUCUUCCUUUUUGACAACAAAUUUGCAGUUAAUCAGGCUCUGGACUUGCUCAGAGAAGCCCAGAAUUGGGCCUAAAGAAUAAAAUAACAUGAAAUAUCUGUGAAACCAUGAAAAUACAUUUUUUAAAAAAAGUUUCCAGGUAUAAUACACAAAAGCAAACAAGUUUAUCUUAAAAAAUAUCAAGUAUCACAUCCAUAGCCUAUUCCUAAUUAUAAUUACUUCUUAAAGCAACAUUUGUCUUUGUUUACAAAUACAGCAGCAGGUGAUAAAACCUAGUAUCUCAAACUGAUUGCUUACAAUUUAUAAUACAAACAAAUGUAUAUGUCUCAAAUCACAUUUUAGGCAGUUUAACUUAAAAUGCAUAGACAAUUACAUACAUUAAAGUUGUCAUUACUGUCAGUGAAAAAUCACAAUUUCAAGAAAAUUACAAAAAACUUUCAUAGAGCACACAGGAGUUUACUUAAUGGCAACAAGUCAGUAUCUGCUAAUCAGUGACAGGCAGUUCAAGUGCCUUUAUCCAGGGGUAAAGUGAAGAGGCAAACUAUCCUGUUACUUUGCACACUUGAAUUGUUGCGCUGAUCAACACUACAAUCUUGAAAAACAUUAAAUUCUUAAAAAAAAAAAAAGGUAUGCCACAUGUCGCCCUUUAAAAUGCCCAAAGGCUGGUUACAGUUUCCACCAGUAGCAAUCAACGUUUAUCUAGGUAAAAUUAACAAUGAAUGGGUGUGCUAACGAAUUCUGUAAUGUUACUUAUAGACUAUAAGCCUCUCAAGGACAGGGAUUCCCUUAUAGCUGGCAAAAAACCUGGAUCAAGGAUAACAUUGUCUACUGAAUAAAUGACUCAGAUGUUUUCGAUAGCCAGAAGCUUGCCUGGCAUUUACAAAAUAUUAUUUUACUGGCAGUUUUUGUUUUACUUGGCAGAAUUCUGAAAAUAAAGUGUUUGUCUUCAAUACUAAAUACUGCUUUAUUAAAAUCAAAGUCUUCCCUGAACGCCACCUACAACUUUCUACGCACAGUACAAUAUAUCAGUGUGAUUUAUCUGAAUUUAGGCUUAUGCUUUUCAAAAACUUGAAGGUCUGUGCUUAAGUUUUAUUUCCAGGCUUUCUAACCCUGGCAUUUGAUAAAGGGUUCUAUCAUUCAGGGUGAGAAAAUUGAGACAUUGGCACUUACUGUUUAGAGGUGUAGGCAAUUGACUGAUACUCAAACUAGGCAGUCUUAACAAAAACUCGAGUAGAGCUUUUGUCAUCUACACAAAGUUUCAAAAGCUGUGCAUUUGAGUACCAUAGGUGGCACUAAUUAUUUGUGAGGUAAUAGAUCAUGGGCAAAUUGAUUGGUUUUUUAGAAAAUAUCCCAAUAGUCCAUUGUGGUGGUGGGACUAAGGCAAAAUACAUACUUUUCUUCUCUGCCCUAUUACUAUUCUCUACUGAAGAUAACCAACAGUAAAAUGGACAAAGCAGUCAGUCCUUGGGUAAUUAAAAAAUGUACUGUCUAUUUCUGAAUAAUCAAUAUAUUACUUUACACAAAAUAGGGCUGAGUCAGAGCUAUAAAUGGUGUCUUCAAAAGCAUGAAAAGAUGAGAAGGCGGCAGGAUGGGACAGACAAGCCAAGGUAUUUGAAGUGCUCCACUUGCUUCUUGAGAACUGGGUGUGAAUGAGGACCUAAAGUCUAUGUUUUAAUUUUUGUCUUUUUGGUUUCAACAUUUCAAAACUUAAGAUUCCAACUCCAGAAACAGUAUUCCUGAACAUAUCUCAACUACUUCCAUUAGAUUUAUUUGAAAAUUCUUCCUCCGAAGCUCAAAUGUCAGCAUAUUCUAU
RNAcentral lists this long non-coding RNA (2121 nucleotides) under Macaca fascicularis (crab-eating macaque). RNAcentral describes it as "lncRNA (ENSMFAG00000052318.1)". Lineage: Eukaryota; Metazoa; Chordata; Mammalia; Primates; Cercopithecidae. The record is from RNAcentral.